GUCAAGCAGCUUAUAAUGGGGUUUCAGCUUCUAAUCGUCUCUUGAGACAACUUCUGACAAUUGA
Molecule: ribosomal RNA, 64 nt
Filed under: uncultured Tricholoma
Lineage: Eukaryota; Fungi; Basidiomycota; Agaricomycetes; Agaricales; Tricholomataceae
Description: partial 28S ribosomal RNA
Source: RNAcentral